RNAcentral lists this ribosomal RNA (492 nucleotides) under uncultured bacterium. RNAcentral's name for it is "partial 16S ribosomal RNA". It matches the Rfam family "Bacterial small subunit ribosomal RNA", at positions 29 to 507 of the family's 1533-position model. The record is from RNAcentral.
AGUGAACGCUGGCGGUAGGCCUAACACAUGCAAGUCGAACGGCAGCACAGUAAGAGCUUGCUCUUACGGGUGGCGAGUGGCGGACGGGUGAGGAAUACAUCGGAAUCUACUUUUUCGUGGGGGAUAACGUAGGGAAACUUACGCUAAUACCGCAUACGACCUACGGGUGAAAGCAGGGGAUCUUCGGACCUUGCGCGAUUGAAUGAGCCGAUGUCGGAUUAGCUAGUUGGCGGGGUAAAGGCCCACCAAGGCGACGAUCCGUAGCUGGUCUGAGAGGAUGAUCAGCCACACUGGAGCUGAGACACGGUCCAGACUCCUACGGGAGGCAGCAGUGGGGAAUAUUGGACAAUGGGCGCAAGCCUGAUCCAGCCAUACCGCGUGGGUGAAGAAGGCCUUCGGGUUGUAAAGCCCUUUUGUUGGGGAAGAAAAGCAGCAGGUUAAUACCCCGCUGUUCUGACGGUACCCAAAGAAUAAGCACCGGCUAACUUCGUG